GAUGAACGCUAGCGGCAGGCUUCCUUCAUGCAAGUCGAGGGGCAGCAUGAGUGUAGCAAUACAUUUGAUGGCGACCGGCAAACGGGUGCGGAACACGUACCCAACUUUCCUCUAAGCGGGGCAUAGCUCGAAAAAAUCCGGAUUAAUACCCCAUAACAUCGUAAAUAGGCAUCUAUUCGCGAUUAAAGAUUUAUCACUUAAAGAUGGGCGUGCGGCUGAUUAGGUAGUUGGCGGGGUAACGGCCCACCAAGCCUGCAAUCAGUAACUGGGGUGAGAGCACAACCAGUCACACGGGCACUGAAACACGGGCCCAACUCCUACGGGAGGCAGCAUUAAGGAAUAUUGGUCAAUGGACAAAAGUCUGAACCACCCAUGCCGCGGGGAGGAUGAAGGUCCUCUGGAUUGUAAACUUCUUUUAUCUGGAACAAAAAAGGGACUUUCUAGUUCAACUGACGGUACCAAAUGAAUAAGCACCGGCUAACUCCGUG
RNAcentral lists this ribosomal RNA (488 nucleotides) under uncultured bacterium. RNAcentral's name for it is "bacterial SSU rRNA". It matches the Rfam family "Bacterial small subunit ribosomal RNA", at positions 28 to 507 of the family's 1533-position model. The record is from RNAcentral.